This 468-nucleotide ribosomal RNA is filed under the name uncultured bacterium. RNAcentral's name for it is "partial 16S ribosomal RNA". It matches the Rfam family "Bacterial small subunit ribosomal RNA", at positions 28 to 507 of the family's 1533-position model. The record is from RNAcentral.
GACGAACGCUGGCGGCGUGCUUAACACAUGCAAGUCGAACGGAAAGGCCCUGCUUUUGUGGGGUGCUCGAGUGGCGAACGGGUGAGUAACACGUGAGUAACCUGCCCUUGACUUUGGGAUACCUUCAGGAACCUGGGGCUAAUACCGGAUAGGAGCUCCUGCUGCAUGGUGGGGGUUGGAAAGUUUCGGCGGUUGGGGAUGGACUCGCGGCUUAUCAGCUUGUUGGUGGGGUAGUGGCUUACCAAGGCUUUGACGGGUAGCCGGGCUGAGAGGGUGACCGGCCACAUUGGGACUGAGAUACGGCCCAGACUCCUACGGGAGGCAGCAGUGGGGAAUAUUGCACAAUGGGCGGAAGCCUGAUGCAGCAACGCCGCGUGCGGGAUGACGGCCUUCGGGUUGUAAACCGCUUUCACCUGUGACGAAGCGUGAGUGACGGUAAUGGGUAAAGAAGCACCGGCUAACUACGUG